RNAcentral lists this ribosomal RNA (728 nucleotides) under uncultured euryarchaeote. RNAcentral's name for it is "bacterial SSU rRNA". It matches the Rfam family "Archaeal small subunit ribosomal RNA", at positions 132 to 859 of the family's 1478-position model. The record is from RNAcentral. Lineage: Archaea; Methanobacteriati; Methanobacteriota.
CCGGGAAACUGGUGAUAAUUCCGAAUAAACCAUUAUUGCUGGAAUGCUUUUUGGUUCAAAGACUUCGGUUGCCUAAGGAUGGAUCUGCGGUCUAUCAGGUAGUAGUGGGUGUAAGGUACCUACUAGCCUACGACGGAUAUGGGUUGUGAGAGCAAGAGCCCAGAGAUGGAUUCUGAGACAUGAAUCCAGGCCCUACGGGGCGCAGCAGGCGCGAAAACUUUACAAUGCGGGAAACCGCGAUAAGGGGACACCGAGUGCCAGCAUAUUAUGUUGGCUGUCCACAUGUGUAAACGGCAUGUGUUAGCAAGGGCCGGGCAAGACCGGUGCCAGCCGCCGCGGUAACACCGGCGGCCCGAGUGGUAAUCACUUUUAUUGGGUCUAAAGGGUCCGUAGCCUGUUUGAUCAGUUCUUCGGGAAAUCUGACAGCUUAACUGUUAGGCUUCCGGGGAAUACUGUCAGACUUAGGACCGGGAGAGGUAAGAGGUACUACAGGGGUAGGAGUGAAAUCUUGUAAUCCCUGUGGGACCACCAGUGGCGAAGGCGUCUUACCAGAACGGGUCCGACGGUGAGGGACGAAAGCUGGGGGCACGAACCGGAUUAGAUACCCGGGUAGUCCCAGCCGUAAACGAUGUUCGCUAGGUGUCAGGGACGGUGCGACCGUUUCUGGUGCCGCAGGGAAGCCGUGAAGCGAACCACCUGGGAAGUACGGCCGCAAGGCUGAAACUUAA